GGGUAAUGCUCUAUAGUCCGGGCGAACUGGAAUGUUCUCCGGAUGAAAGAUCCGUCGCUUCAGGAUGAGUCUGCGGCCGAUUAGGUAGUUGUUGGGGUAAAAGCCCAACAAGCCUGUCAUCGGUACGGGUUGUGGGAGCAAGAGCCCGGAGAUGGAUUCUGAGACACGAAUCCAGGCCCUACGGGGCGCAGCAGGCGCGAAAACUUUACAAUGCGGGCAACCGUGAUAAGGAAACCCCGAGUGCCACCACAGGGUGGCUGUCCACCAGUGUAAACAACUGGUGAAGAAAGGGCCGGGCAAGACCGGUGCCAGCCGCCGCGGUAAUACCGGCGGCUCGAGUGGUGGCCGCUUUUACUGGGCUUAAAGGGUCCGUAGCUGGAUCUGUGUGUCCCUUGAGAAAUCCAUCGGCUUAACUGAUGGGCGUUCAGGGGAAACUGCAGUUCUAGGGACCGGGAGAGGUGAGAGGUACUGCCGGGGUAGGAGUGAAAUCCUGUAAUCCCGGUGGGACGACCUAUGGCGAAGGCAUCUCACCAGAACGGCUCCGACAGUGAGGGACGAAAGCUGGGGGAGCAAACCGGAUUAGAUACCCGGGUAGUCCCAGCUGUAAACGAUGCGCAUUAGGUGUGUCAGUGACCACGUGUCACUGAGGUGCCGAAGGGAAACCGUGAAAUGCGCCGCCUGGGGAGUACGGUCGCAAGGCUGAAACUUAAAGGAAUUGGCGGGGG
Molecule: ribosomal RNA, 725 nt
Filed under: uncultured archaeon
Lineage: Archaea
Description: bacterial SSU rRNA
Rfam family: Archaeal small subunit ribosomal RNA
Source: RNAcentral